This is a long non-coding RNA of Pyrgilauda ruficollis (rufous-necked snowfinch), 2239 nucleotides long. RefSeq lists it as uncharacterized. The transcript has 2 exons. Lineage: Eukaryota; Metazoa; Chordata; Aves; Passeriformes; Passeridae. The record is from RefSeq and is a predicted model, not a curated record.
UGCGGUGAGAUAAGGGCAGGGCGCGGGGGGCUGGGGGUGUCUUUAUGGCUCUAUUUAUCUUUGAUUAGAUAAGUCGAAGCCCUUAUUUUAAGCACACUCCAGAACGCUUUGGAUUCAGGAAUGAGUUCGUUCCGCGGGUGCUAAGAGCCAUCGUGGGGCUCUUUAAAACCUGUUUGUCCUCACUAAGACAGUCGGAUUUAUUUGACCUACCAAGUCGGAUUUAUUUGAGUUCACUGCUCCGAGGGAAGAAGAGCCCGCUCCCGGCCGCGGGGCUCGGAGCCGGGGCGGGCGGCGCUCCGUGCCCGCAGCCUCUGCCCGAGCCACGACGUGGGAAAGGCCGAUAUUUUCCUAAAUCCGGAUUGUUGUUUUUCCCACGUACUUCGCGUCUCGGGGCUGUUUAAAUUAAGCCCCUGCCACCCAGUCUGUACAGCGACUGUACUAUGUCCGCUGGAGUCAGGGCGCUUCCAUAUCCCAUGACCAUGUGUCUGGUAAUUUUCCCUUGCCAUUUUAUUUUAGUACUUAUGAUGUUGCAGAUGAAGUCUUAAAGAGCUUCAAUGUCCUCCCAGAAGGAAUGUCUACUUGGAACAGAUCCUUAUUGACAAGGCAGCUGUGUGGGGACCGGAACGGAGCCUUAAACCCGGCUCUAAAAUCAACUAAUACCCUAAAGUCUGGAGCAAGUGCGCAGAAUUAUAAGGCAUGGGCUCGCCCGCGGCCGCGUCCUGGAGGAGCAGCGCCCUGCCCAGCCUAGGGAUGGGUUCCCCCAUCCCUCAUUUCUAUUGUUAUUCAUUUUAAAUUUUAUUUCCUCCUUUCUAAUGAGGUGCUCAGCCCCGGAAGAGCACGGACCUGAGGGUUUGUAACUUCUGGAUGAGGAGGAGAGAAAAGCAACGCGGGACUGGGGAAGACCCUGGGCAUUGUAACGAGAGCGGGCUUCUCUUGCCCUCAGAGUUCUCCUUUUUUUUUUUUUUUUUUUUUUUUUUUUUUUUCCUUUUUUUUUUUUUUUUUUUUUUUUUCCCUUUUUUUUUUUUUUUUUUUUUUUUUUUUCCUCCUUUAAAAGGCCGACCAAAACAAACACCGCUCUUGAUGGGAAUAAGCAAAUGAUCCCGAUGCGAUCGGCGGAAGAGCUGACAGACACGGGCGAGGGCUGAGCAGAGGCUUCCUCGCGAUUCUUGAGCGGGGCUUUAUUCUCCCCUCUCACCAAAAUUCACAAAAAGAGGGAACAGACCCGCCGGGGUCUAUCUGGGAGUUGCUGCAGGCAAGGACCGCUGCGCAUCAAUGUUCGUUAAGGCUCCGGGGUUGGUUUUCCUAAAAAUUGGGAACCUUUCAUUUCGAACCACGGGAAGAGGCAAAUGUAUUUCCAGAACACCCCAUCCCAUUUAACCCUUGAAAAAAAAAAUCACAAAAGCAACAACAAAAAUGAGAGUUUCGAGCCGCUCAAAAAAUAAAAACAAACCAUAAACAAGGAAGAUGCAAAUAAACAAAAAGCCACCGAACAAGACAACGGCGCAGAGCUGCCGCCGGCCCCUCUCGGUGCUUCCUUUGCCGGCGGAGCAGGAGCAGCCCGGCAGCAUCACCCGGAGCAUCUCCCCGCUGCCCGGCCGGCCGGAGCUCCCGGGCUGCCCCCGCCGCCGGGGCCUGGCUCCUCCGCGCCCGCGGAGAGGUGGCAGCCGAGCGAGGGGGCCUCCGCUGCUCGCCCCCAUUGCCCGGGCACCCAUCGGCUCUGUUUGUGCGGAAAAUUCAUUUAUUCCCUUAUUUAUUCGAUGUAUUUAUACAGCUAGGGCGGGGGUGAAGAUGGAGCCCACGCAACACGCUGCGGGUUUUUCCUCGAUUUCGCCAGAAAAUCAAAACAAAGCAGAAAAAAAAAAAAGUACGAGGUUCUGGAGGAAACAAACAGCGCAACAAAACAAAACCAACAGCGGGUUUUUGGGAGCCGCUUCUCGUCGGGAUGAGAACCGGGGCUGAAGGCUGGGAACCGGCGGGGCAGAAACACAACGCUGCCACUCGCCGAACAUUUCGAAGGCGAAAUCCAAAACCGACCCAUUAAGUCAAUGAGGUUUAUGUUGUAGAGGCUCCUUUCCCAUCCACUUGCUGUUCUGAAAAAUAGAUCGCAUUUCGUUAUCUCGAGUGAGGAUCUGCAACGUGAUACCGGAUCCGCGCCGCCUUCCCCGCCGAAUGCGAGGCGCAGGGAGACAGCCAGCUUCCCGGCUUAUUCCCCAACAAUAAAGGAUUUGUAUUUUCUUUC